Molecule: transfer RNA, 74 nt
Filed under: compost metagenome
Description: tRNA-Trp
Rfam family: tRNA
About the family: Transfer RNA (tRNA) molecules are approximately 80 nucleotides in length. Their secondary structure includes four short double-helical elements and three loops (D, anti-codon, and T loops).
Source: RNAcentral
AGGGGUAUAGUUUAAUGGUAGAAUCGCGGUCUCCAAAACCGUUGGUCUCAGUUCGAAUCUGGGUACCCCUGCCA